ACGCUCGACACCUACGGAGGCAGCAGUGGGGAAUAUUGCACAAUGGGGGAAACUCUGAUCCAGUGACGCCGCGUGAAGGAAGAAGGUCUUCGGAUUGUAAACUUAUUUUGUCAGGGAAGAAAAAUGACUGUACCUGAAGAAAAAGCACCGGCUAACUACGUGCCAGAAGCCGCGGUAAUCUGAGCGGGCUGGCAAGGC
Molecule: ribosomal RNA, 198 nt
Filed under: uncultured bacterium
Lineage: Bacteria
Description: partial 16S ribosomal RNA
Rfam family: Bacterial small subunit ribosomal RNA
Source: RNAcentral